Long non-coding RNA from Piliocolobus tephrosceles (Ugandan red Colobus), 1752 nucleotides. RefSeq lists it as uncharacterized. The transcript has 3 exons. The record is from RefSeq and is a predicted model, not a curated record. NCBI's taxonomy places the organism in Eukaryota, Metazoa, Chordata, Mammalia, Primates, Cercopithecidae.
UCUGAACCCGGAACCGCUCCCUCCUCCCCCGCCCGGCUAUAGCUGGCAGGGCAGGGAUUGGAUGCCACGGCCGGCGCCAGGCUUCGUUCUCCGCCGAGGGUAGUGACACAGGCGAGGACGUUCCCCGCAGGUCACGUGAGGGCGGGUCCUGGCGGGCUCGUGACCUUCCCGUAGGCGGGGUCCCUCUCCUCCCAGCUCCGGCCAGCGUCGUGGUAACCAGCUUUUAUGGGGCACGUGGCGGCUGAUGCGCAGUAAAUAGGAGUGACUCUCCCCUGCGAAGGCGGGACCGCACUUUAUGAGACCAAACAAACUGCCUGAGCGAAGCCCUUGGAGCUGUAAACAAUUGGCAGCAAGUACAAAACAAAGGAGGGGACCACACAAGGGCACGAAUACCAGGCAGGGAUCAUUGGAGGUCAUCUUGGAAGCUGCUACAGGAGAGCAGAAUACUAAGAAAGCAUCACCAUACAGCACGGAAAGAAAUACUGAAAACAAAUCAACAGCCUCACACUUGGACUCGCCCGCCCCAGGACCCAGGAAGAGCCCCGGAGUGUGGGUGAUUGUCAGGUGUGGGGGUGGGGCACCUCCACGGCCCGGCCCGCCCCUCCCUUCCUCUUCCUCACCACCUCCCUCCCUCUGGGACUUGAAUGGGGAAGAGGAGAGAAUCCAGAUUCUCCAUUCCAGCCUCCCUCCCCCACACAAAUGCCAUUCCUUCUACCAACCGCUUUAAGGGGUGGGGAGAGGCAGCAGAGGGGAGAACAAGGAGUUCCCAGGCUCCAUGUCUCCUCCCCUCCGCGAAAGCCUAAACUUACCCCUCACCCCACCCCAGGGGAUUCCAAAGAGUCAGUUAAAAAUAUAGAGAGAUAUAGAUAUUUCUAGAUACACUUUUACAUUUCUGUCUCUCCAAACAAAUAAAUAAUCAGCAAGAGAAGGUGCAUUCCUUCCUUCCUGUCCAAGGUGGGGAGGGUUGGAAGGGGGUCGGGGGUCAGUCUCGCUGCACUGAGCGUGCUGUUGAGAGGGGAGGAUGGUGUGUUCCACUGAGGUGGUGGGGGGGGUCCUCUUGCCCACUGUCCCUGAAAGCUGUGGGAAACCUGGGGAGGGGAGGGCCAUUAGAUGACUCCAGUGGUUACUUUGGCAAAUGCCCAGUUCUUCAGAGGGAGUGGGUGGAGGCGAAUUUGGCUUGAGAGGAAGAAGCCAUUAAGUCCCCAUCUGAGGUCUGGGUUCCCAGGGACCCAAUUCAUCUGGCCGCCCUGGAGCCCCUACCCUCAAGAGAAACCUUCGGAUACUGAACUGCAGAAAUGUCACAUAUUCACAGACCACCCUGUCCCCAGGGACAGAGAAGAAAGGACACAGAAACAUCCACACAUGGUAAUCAAAAGCCAGGUUUGCCUUUAUGAGGCAGAGGGCAAAACUGGUGAAUAUUGCACCGUGAACUGCAGGGGCCCUCACCCCCACCCCGUGUUUAAUGGUGGCCAAGCCCAGUCUAGAAAGGUGGGCAGACUAAUGGUGGGAAUAGCCUGAGAAGGGAAGGCCAGUCAUUCAUUUAUUGAGCACCUAUCAUUCAACCAUUCACCCAUUCAGCAUUUAUUGAGUGCCUACUAUGUGCCAGGCACUGGGCGAGGCUCUGGGGAUGCAUGCAUGAACAAGAUUACACCCUGGCUUCUUUCAAGCCCUGGAUCGAGGCUCAUCAGUUUUUGAAACUCCCUCUAGAAGCCUGCAGGGGAGGUGGGAAGGCUGGACGUGCUGCCCCCACCC